CAGUGGGGAAUAUUGCACAAUGGGCGCAAGCCUGAUGCAGCCAUGCCGCGUGUAUGAAGAAGGCCUUCGGGUUGUAAAGUACUUUCAGCGGGGAGGAAGGUGUUGUGGUUAAUAACCACAGCAAUUGACGUUACCCGCAGAAGAAGCACCGGCUAACUCCGUGCCAGCAGCCGCGGUAAUACGGAGGGUGCAAGCGUUAAUCGGAAUUACUGGGCGUAAAGCGCACGCAGGCGGUCUGUUAAGUCAGAUGUGAAAUCCCCGGGCUCAACCUGGGAACUGCAUCUGAUACUGGCAGGCUUGAGUCUCGUAGAGGGGGGUAGAAUUCCAGGUGUAGCGGUGAAAUGCGUAGAGAUCUGGAGGAAUACCGGUGGCGAAGGCGGCCCCCUGGACGAAGACUGACGCUCAGGUGCGAAAGCGUGAGGAGCAAACAGGAUU
This 435-nucleotide ribosomal RNA is filed under the name uncultured bacterium. Its description in RNAcentral is "bacterial SSU rRNA". It matches the Rfam family "Bacterial small subunit ribosomal RNA", at positions 352 to 779 of the family's 1533-position model. The record is from RNAcentral.